RNAcentral lists this ribosomal RNA (1322 nucleotides) under Nocardiopsis dassonvillei subsp. dassonvillei. RNAcentral's name for it is "bacterial SSU rRNA". It matches the Rfam family "Bacterial small subunit ribosomal RNA", at positions 95 to 1418 of the family's 1533-position model. The record is from RNAcentral. Lineage: Bacteria; Bacillati; Actinomycetota; Actinomycetes; Streptosporangiales; Nocardiopsidaceae.
GCGGCGAACGGGUGAGUAACACGUGAGCAACCUGCCCCUGACUCUGGGAUAAGCGGUGGAAACGCCGUCUAAUACCGGAUACGACCCGCCACCUCAUGGUGGAGGGUGGAAAGUUUUUCGGUCAGGGAUGGGCUCGCGGCCUAUCAGCUUGUUGGUGGGGUAACGGCCUACCAAGGCGAUUACGGGUAGCCGGCCUGAGAGGGCGACCGGCCACACUGGGACUGAGACACGGCCCAAACUCCUGCGGGAGGCAACAGUGGGGAAUAUUGCGCAAUGGGCGAAAGCCUGACGCAGCGACGCCGCGUGGGGGAUGACGGCCUUCGGGUUGUAAACCUCUUUUACCACCAACGCAGGCUUCCAGUUCUCUGGAGGUUGACGGUAGGUGGGGAAUAAGGACCGGCUAACUACGUGCCAGCAGCCGCGGUAAUACGUAGGGUCCGAGCGUUGUCCGGAAUUAUUGGGCGUAAAGAGCUCGUAUGCGGCGUGUCGCGUCUGCUGUGAAAGACCGGGGCUUAACUCCGGUUCUGCAGUGGAUACGGGCAUGCUAGAGGUAGGUAGGGGAGACUGGAAUUCCUGGUGUAGCGGUGAAAUGCGCAGAUAUCAGGAGGAACACCGGUGGCGAAGGCGGGUCUCUGGCCUUACCUGACGCUGAGGAGCGAAAGCAUGGGGAGCGAACAGGAUUAGAUACCCUGGUAGUCCAUGCCGUAAACGUUGGGCGCUAGGUGUGGGGACUUUCCACGGUUUCCGCGCCGUACUAACGCAUUAAGCGCCCCGCCUGGGGAGUACGGCCGCAAGGCUAAAACUCAAAGGAAUUGACGGGGGCCCGCACAAGCGGCGGAGCAUGUUGCUUAAUUCGACGCAACGCGAAGAACCUUACCAAGGUUUGACAUCACCCGUGGACUCGCAGAGAUGUGAGGUCAUUUAGUUGGCGGGUGACAGGUGGUGCAUGGCUGUCGUCAGCUCGUGUCGUGAGAUGUUGGGUUAAGUCCCGCAACGAGCGCAACCCUUGUUCCAUGUUGCCAGCACGUAAUGGUGGGGACUCAUGGGAGACUGCCGGGGUCAACUCGGAGGAAGGUGGGGAGGACGUCAAGUCAUCAUGCCCCUUAUGUCUUGGGCUGCAAACAUGCUACAAUGGCCGGUACAAUGGGCGUGCGAUACCGUAAGGUGGAGCGAAUCCCUAAAAGCCGGUCUCAGUUCGGAUUGGGGUCUGCAACUCGACCCCAUGAAGGUGGAGUCGCUAGUAAUCGCGGAUCAGCAACGCCGCGGUGAAUACGUUCCCGGGCCUUGUACACACCGCCCGUCACGUCAUGAAAGUCGGCAAC